This 440-nucleotide ribosomal RNA is filed under the name uncultured bacterium. Its description in RNAcentral is "partial 16S ribosomal RNA". It matches the Rfam family "Bacterial small subunit ribosomal RNA", at positions 338 to 795 of the family's 1533-position model. The record is from RNAcentral.
CCUACGGGAGGCAGCAGUAGGGAAUAUUGCUCAAUGGGGGAAACCCUGAAGCAGCAACGCCGCGUGGAGGAUGAAGGUUUUCGGAUUGUAAACUCCUUUUGUUAGAGAAGAUAAUGACGGUAUCUAACGAAUAAGCACCGGCUAACUCCGUGCCAGCAGCCGCGGUAAUACGGAGGGUGCAAGCGUUACUCGGAAUCACUGGGCGUAAAGAGCGCGUAGGCGGGAUAGCAAGUCAGAUGUGAAAUCCUAUGGCUUAACCAUAGAACUGCAUUUGACACUGUUAUUCUAGAGUAUGGGAGAGGUAGGUGGAAUUCUUGGUGUAGGGGUGAAAUGCGUAGAGAUCAAGAAGAAUACUCAUUGCGAAGGCGACCUGCUAGAACAUAACUGACGCUGAUGCGCGAAAGCGUGGGGAGCAAACAGGAUUAGAUACCCGAGUAGUC